Molecule: ribosomal RNA, 267 nt
Filed under: uncultured bacterium
Lineage: Bacteria
Description: partial 16S ribosomal RNA
Rfam family: Bacterial small subunit ribosomal RNA
Source: RNAcentral
GAACCUACGGGGGGCAGCAGUGAGGAAUAUUGGUCAAUGGUCGGGAGACUGAACCAGCCAAGCCGCGUGAGGGAUGAAGGUACAGAGUAUCGUAAACCUCUUUUGUCAGGGAACAAAGGCGGGGACGCGUCCCCGGAUGAGUGUACCUGAAGAAAAAGCAUCGGCUAACUCCGUGCCAGCAGCCGCGGUAAUACGGAGGAUGCGCGCGUUAUCCGGAUUUUUUGGGUUUAAAGGGUGCGCAGGCGUGGUGUUAAGUUAGGUGUCAAA